Molecule: ribosomal RNA, 497 nt
Filed under: uncultured bacterium
Lineage: Bacteria
Description: partial 16S ribosomal RNA
Rfam family: Bacterial small subunit ribosomal RNA
Source: RNAcentral
GAUGAACGCUGGCGGCGUGCCUAAUACAUGCAAGUCGAGCGAACAGAUGAGGAGCUUGCUCCUCUGACGUUAGCGGCGGACGGGUGAGUAACACGUGGAUAACCUACCUAUAAGACUGGGAUAACUUCGGGAAACCGGAGCUAAUACCGGAUAAUAUAUUGAACCGCAUGGUUCAAUAGUGAAAGACGGUUUUGCUGUCACUUAUAGAUGGAUCCGCGCCGCAUUAGCUAGUUGGUAAGGUAACGGCUUACCAAGGCAACGAUGCGUAGCCGACCUGAGAGGGAGGACGGACAGAUUGGAGAUGCACCACGGUGGGGACAACGCGGGGGGGACGAAGUGGGGAGUAGUGAGGAAUGGCCGAAGGCCUGACGGAGCAACGCCGCGGGAGUAAUGAAGGUAUAAGGAUCGGAGAACUCUGUGAUGAGGGAAGAACAAAAGGGUAAGUGCAUAUGCACGUCUGGAGGCUACCUAAUCAGAAAGCCACGGCUAACUUCGUC